RNAcentral lists this small nuclear RNA (107 nucleotides) under Saimiri boliviensis boliviensis (Bolivian squirrel monkey). The record is from RNAcentral. Lineage: Eukaryota; Metazoa; Chordata; Mammalia; Primates; Cebidae.
GUGCUUGCUUCGGCAGCACAUAUACUAAAACUGAAACAAUACAGAGAAGACUAGCAUGGCCCCUGCACAAGGAUGACAUGCACAUUCGUGAAGUGUUCCACAUUUUU